UCCAGCCUGCCCAGUGACCUAGUUCAACGGCCGCGGUAUCCUAACCGUGCGAAGGUAGCGUAAUCACUUGUCUUCUAAAUAAAGACUAGUAUGAAAGGCAUCACGAGGAUUAAACUGUCUCCCUUUUCCAAUCAGUGAACCUAAUCUCCCCGUGAAGAAGCGGGAAUUUUUAGAUAAGACGAGAAGACCCUAUGGAGCUUCAAACACUAUAACACCUGCUACACGUACACACAAAUGUUCCAGCAUGAUGAUUAUACGUUUUUGGUUGGGGUGACCGCGGAGAAAAAACAACCCUCCACGAUGACUUAAGGACUCCUCCUAAACAACAAGCUACAGCUUUAUGUAUCAGUAAACUGACACUAUUGACCCAAUAUAUUGAUCAACGAACCAAGUUACCCUAGGGAUAACAGCGCAAUCCACUUCAAGAGCCCCUAUCGACAAGUGGGCUUACGACCUCGAUGUUGGAUCAGGGUAUCCCAGUGGUGCAGCCGCUAUCAUAUAUAGGUUCGUUUGUUCAACGAUUAAAACCCU
Molecule: ribosomal RNA, 531 nt
Filed under: Pristimantis rupicola
Lineage: Eukaryota; Metazoa; Chordata; Amphibia; Anura; Strabomantidae
Description: partial large subunit ribosomal RNA
Rfam family: Bacterial large subunit ribosomal RNA
Source: RNAcentral